CCUACGUGCGGCAGCAGUGAGGAAUAUUGGUCAAUGGGCGCGAGCCUGAACCAGCCAAGUAGCGUGAAGGAUGACUGCCCUACGGGUUGUAAAAUUCUUUUAUAAAGGAAUAAAGUGAGGCACGGGUGCCUUUUUGUAUGUACUUGAUGAAUAAGGAUCGGCUAACUCCGUGCCAGCAGACGCGGUAAUACGGAGGAUCCGAGCGUUAUCCGGAUUUAUUGGGUUUAAAGGGAGCGUAGAUGGGUUGUUAAGUCAGUUGUGAAAGUUUGCGGCUCAACCGUAAAAUUGCAAUUGUUACUGGCAGUCUUGAGUACAGUUGAGGUAGGCGGAAUUCGUGGUGUAGCGGUGAAAUGCUUAGAUAUCACGAAGAACUCCGAUUGCGAUGGCAGCUUACUAAACUGCCACUGACAUUGAUGCUCGAAAGUGUGGGUAUCAAACAGGAUUAGAUACCCCUGUAGUC
This 460-nucleotide ribosomal RNA is filed under the name uncultured bacterium. RNAcentral's name for it is "partial 16S ribosomal RNA". It matches the Rfam family "Bacterial small subunit ribosomal RNA", at positions 338 to 795 of the family's 1533-position model. The record is from RNAcentral.